Asterias rubens (European starfish) is the source of this 2103-nucleotide long non-coding RNA. RefSeq lists it as uncharacterized. The transcript has 4 exons. NCBI's taxonomy places the organism in Eukaryota, Metazoa, Echinodermata, Asteroidea, Forcipulatida, Asteriidae. The record is from RefSeq and is a predicted model, not a curated record.
CGCGCCAAACAACUGCAAGAAAAACCUCAGCCGAGUGAGACCACUGUUUUCCUAGACGAUUAGCUUUCUAGUUUUUUUCCCCAGUUUUGAUGGAAGAUUUCGUUGCUAGAAUCAUCACAAAUUAUUAUGUAUCGACGUAAACAAAUCAGAGAAAGUUUGUUCAUCAUCGAGGACCUGAAACGUUUAUAUUGCUUAGCAAAACAACAAGCGACAAUUUGCAGCAUAUAAUUUUUUUGAUCCUGGAGGACCUUGAUUGAGUCAUCCGUUAUAUGGAUGAGGUGCUUGUAACUCAGAUCGUAGGACAGUCGAGUGAGAGCAUCUCUUCAAUACUUACAGGACAUGGGAAUAAUCAAUCGACUUACACUUAUUGAAAAAUGUGGCAGUACCUUGACCACAUUGUCAAUGCAUCUGGACUAAACAACAACAGCAAGUGCUCAGUACCAAGUUCACAUGUCACAAACCUGGAACUCUACGUUGGACUUCCGAGAGUUUAGCACCGAGAAAAGUGAGAUAAGAAGGUCACUGUCUCAGACACGCUGAGUUGAGCAGUGUUUACAAGCUUGUGCUACACGUAUGGGCCCCCUACUCAAGGUCACUGUUCACGAGGCAGACCACAAACCACUUUGUGCCGGCAUGGCGAGGAACCAAAACUCUCCAUUAAAUGCCACAACAUCAUCUGAUACUCACAAUUAGGCACUCGUACAGACACAUCAAAGAACUAGUGUCUCUCAGCUUAUCACCUGGUCAUCGAAACAUGGAAGGAGGAAAAGGGGAAGACAGAAGCUCAGCUAUACACCACUUGUGUUCCAGUUAUGUGAUAAAAACCAAACUGUUUGGCAAUGAACCAAAACUCUCUGCUAAAAUACAACAGCAUCGUCUGAUACUCACAAGGCACUGGUACAGACACAUCAAGAACUAGUGUCUCUCAGCUUAUCACCUGGUCACCGAAACAUGGAAGGAGGGAAACUGGGAAGACAGAACCUCAGCUAUACACCACUUCUGUUCCAGUUAUGUGAUAAAAACCGAACUGUUUGGCACUAAACCAAAACUCUCUACUAAACUACAACAGCAUCGUCUGAUACUCUCAAGGCCCUUGUACAGAAACGUCAAAGAACCUGUCUCUCAGCUUAUCACCUGGUCACUGAAACAUGGAAGGAGGAAAAGGGGAAGACAGAAGCUCAGAUGUAUAGAUGUAGUUGCCACAGGGACAUCUGAGUACUUCAAGCUGAUCUUCUCAGUGAUUCAAGUGGACAUACAGGAUAUAAUUGACACCGAUCCUGUUUGCCACACUGGUACUUUGACAGCUUGGUUUAGCGCUGAUGACCCUAUAGACGGUACAGAAGAUGAGACUCUUGCCACAGUUGGAUUGUGAGGGGACAACAAUGAAGACGGGAACAUCACAUCUGAAGGGACAGGGUCAAACGGAGUUGUGCGUCGAACUUAGCCACAAACUGCAGAAAACGUCUCGCCACUCAUUCUACCAAGAAUUGUUAGAUGCCAGCAGCAACAGUGCAUCUUUCAACAAAAGUUGUGCAAAAGGACCUCCACUGUGCAUGCUGUUUCAGAAGAUAUGGAAUUGUUGUUCUCUGCAGUAGGUGUGAUGUUGGUUUUUUCUGGCCUACAUACUGGAGUUUGUGAGAGUGCAUCGGCAGUACGUUGAUGCUUGUGCGUCAAUUUGAGAUAAAAUUGUACAAUGCAUGGAAGCAUUUUUGUGAAGUUCAUUUGUGCUUUGUGAAGGAACUGGAGACUUAUGAUCGGUCUUUACUGCGAGGUGAAAUCCCAGAAUGGAUUUGUUGAACUUCACUUCAUGGACUUCUGUUGAUGUGUGCUUGGCACUGAGGCACACGACUUUGUAGUGUCCCCUUCUCUGACAGAUAGUACCAGUUGAGUUUGAUUACAUACCAAGUGUUCUGACACACCCUAACUAACCAAUAACUAACCCUUAUUGUAUAUGGUAACCCUAACCCUUUAUGGUAAUGGUAACCCCUAACACUUUUGGUAAUCAUAAUUUAUAAUCCUAACACUUUUGGUAAUCGUUUCCCCCUAACAAUAACCCUGUGUCAGAACAUUGGUAUGUAAUUAGAUUCAACUGGUGCUAACUGU